This 409-nucleotide ribosomal RNA is filed under the name bacterium. RNAcentral's name for it is "partial 16S ribosomal RNA". It matches the Rfam family "Bacterial small subunit ribosomal RNA", at positions 355 to 776 of the family's 1533-position model. The record is from RNAcentral.
UGGGGAAUAUUGCACAAUGGGCGAAAGCCUGAUGCAGCGACGCCGCGUGAGGGAUGACGGCCUUCGGGUUGUAAACCUCUUUCAGCAGGGACGAAGCGCAAGUGACGGUACCUGCAGAAGAAGCACCGGCUAACUACGUGCCAGCAGCCGCGGUAAUACGUAGGGUGCAAGCGUUGUCCGGAAUUACUGGGCGUAAAGAGUUCGUAGGCGGUUUGUCGCGUCGUUUGUGAAAACCAGCAGCUCAACUGCUGGCUUGCAGGCGAUACGGGCAGACUUGAGUACUGCAGGGGAUACUGGAAUUCCUGGUGUAGCGGUGAAAUGCGCAGAUAUCAGGAGGAACACCGGUGGCGAAGGCGGGUCUCUGGGCAGUAACUGACGCUGAGGAACGAAAGCGUGGGUAGCGAACAGG